GACGAACGCUGGCGGCGUGCCUAAUACAUGCAAGUCGAACGCUUCUUUCCUCCCGAGUGCUUGCACUCAAUUGGAAAGAGGAGUGGCGGACGGGUGAGUAACACGUGGGUAACCUACUCAUCAGAGGGGGAUAACACUUGGAAACAGGUGCUAAUACCGCAUAACAGUUUAUGCCGCAUGGCAUAAGAGUGAAAGGCGCUUUCGGGUGUCGCUGAUGGAUGGACCCGCGGUGCAUUAGCUAGUUGGUGAGGUAACGGCCCACCAAGGCGACGAUGCGUAGAGCGUAGGAGAGGAGGAGCAGGCACAAUGGAACUGAGACACGGUACAGACUCCUAAGGGAAGCAGAAGUGGGGAAUAUUGGACAAUGGGCGCAAGCCUGAUCCAGCCAUACCGAGUGGGUGAAGAAGGCCUUCGGGUUGUAAAGCACUUGUGUUGGGAAAGAAAAGCAGCAGGUUAAUCACCCGCUGUUAUGACGGUACCCAAAGAAUAAGCACCGGCUAACCUCGUG
RNAcentral lists this ribosomal RNA (508 nucleotides) under uncultured bacterium. Its description in RNAcentral is "partial 16S ribosomal RNA". It matches the Rfam family "Bacterial small subunit ribosomal RNA", at positions 28 to 507 of the family's 1533-position model. The record is from RNAcentral.